CUUGAAGUCUUGUAAUUGGAAUGAUGGGAAUUUAAACCCCUUCCAGAGUAUCAAUUGGAGGGCAAGUCUGGUGCCAGCAGCCGCGGUAAUUCCAGCUCCAAUAGCGUAUAUUAAACUUGUUGCAGUUAAAAAGCUCGUAGUUGAAUUUCUGCUGUUUCGUUGACUGCGUUUGGCGUUUGUCAUCGUUGCGGCUUGGUUGGGUUUCGAUUAUUCGUUUCCCGGCGUUUACUUUGAGAAAAUUAGAGUGCUUGAAGCAGGCUUUUGCCUUGAAUACUUUAGCAUGGAAUAACGGAGUAGGAC
RNAcentral lists this ribosomal RNA (300 nucleotides) under Theileria equi. Its description in RNAcentral is "SSU rRNA". It matches the Rfam family "Eukaryotic small subunit ribosomal RNA", at positions 494 to 828 of the family's 1831-position model. Lineage: Eukaryota; Apicomplexa; Aconoidasida; Piroplasmida; Theileriidae. The record is from RNAcentral.